This 423-nucleotide ribosomal RNA is filed under the name uncultured bacterium. RNAcentral's name for it is "bacterial SSU rRNA". It matches the Rfam family "Bacterial small subunit ribosomal RNA", at positions 355 to 775 of the family's 1533-position model. The record is from RNAcentral.
UAAGGAAUAUUGGUCAAUGGGCGCAAGCCUGAACCAGCCAUGCCGCGUGCAGGAAGACGGCCCUAUGGGUUGUAAACUGCUUUUGUCAGGGAAUAAACCCCCGCUCGUGAGCGGGGCUGAAGGUACCUGAAGAAUAAGCAUCGGCUAACUCCGUGCCAGCAACCGCGGUAAUACGGAGGAUGCAAGCGUUAUCCGGAUUCAUUGGGCUUAAAGGGUGCGCAGGCGGAUUGGUAAGUCAGGGGUGAAAUCCCACAGCUCAACCGGGAAACUGCCGUUGAUACCGCCGUUCUAGAGUACAGUUGGGGUGGGCGGAAUGUGUCAUGUAGCGGUGAAAUGCUUAGAUAUGACACAGAACACCGAUCGCGAAGGCAGCUCACCAAGUUGUAACUGACGCUCAUGCACGAAAGCGUGGGGAUCAAACAG